This 312-nucleotide unclassified non-coding RNA is filed under the name Hevea brasiliensis (rubber tree). The record is from RNAcentral. Lineage: Eukaryota; Viridiplantae; Streptophyta; Magnoliopsida; Malpighiales; Euphorbiaceae.
GAAUUAAUGGAAAGCUUGAAGCUAAAGGUAUACCAUUUCUUUCUUUCUUUCUUUACAGUCUUAUCCUCUUAGAAUAUUUUCUGGGCUUCUUUUAAUUAUUUGCUCUGGGAAUACUUGAUUAUUAACUAGUCUUUUUUGUGGGUGUUGAAAAUAAUAUCCACCAUUAAUAUUCAUUUCUUGAAACUGCGCUUUAAAAACUAAUAUAAUUAGCUAGAUUAAUUCAUAUAUAAAGUAUGGGUUUUCUGUUUGGGUUAAAUAAGAAUUUGUUUGGCAAUAACGUUUCAGGUCCUGAAGCAUCUAGGCCACCAACAA